This is a small nuclear RNA of Bufo bufo (common toad), 182 nucleotides long. RefSeq annotates it as U2 spliceosomal RNA. NCBI's taxonomy places the organism in Eukaryota, Metazoa, Chordata, Amphibia, Anura, Bufonidae. The transcript has a single exon. The record is from RefSeq and is a predicted model, not a curated record.
AUCGCUUCUCAGACUUUUGGCUAAGAUCAAGUGUAGUAUCUGUUCUCAUCAGUUUAAUAUCUGAUACGUCCCCUAUCUGGGGACCAUAUAUUAAAUGGAUUUUUCGAACAGGAGAUGGAAAGAUGAAGAUUACUCUUACCGGUAAUUGGAUUUUCCGUAUAGCCUCCACAACGGCACUAAGC